UCCUACGGGAGGCAGCAGUGGGGAAUAUUGCACAAUGGGCGCAAGCCUGAUGCAGCCAUGCCGCGUGUAUGAAGAAGGCCUUCGGGUUGUAAAGUACUUUCAGCAGUGAGGAAGGGGAUGUCGUUAAUAGCGGCAUCUCUUGACGUUAGCUGCAGAAGAAGCACCGGCUAACUCCGUGCCAGCAGCCGCGGUAAU
This 195-nucleotide ribosomal RNA is filed under the name uncultured bacterium. RNAcentral's name for it is "partial 16S ribosomal RNA". It matches the Rfam family "Bacterial small subunit ribosomal RNA", at positions 337 to 524 of the family's 1533-position model. The record is from RNAcentral.